RNAcentral lists this ribosomal RNA (444 nucleotides) under uncultured Sphingobacteriales bacterium. RNAcentral describes it as "bacterial SSU rRNA". It matches the Rfam family "Bacterial small subunit ribosomal RNA", at positions 936 to 1382 of the family's 1533-position model. The record is from RNAcentral. Lineage: Bacteria; Pseudomonadati; Bacteroidota; Sphingobacteriia; Sphingobacteriales.
AGCAUGUGGUUUAAUCGAUGAUACGCGAGGAACCUUACCUGGGCUCAAAUGUAUGUUGACGUAUUCUGAAAGGGAUACUUCUUCGGACAAUAUACAAGGUGCUGCAUGGUUGUCGUCAGCUCGUGCCGUGAGGUGUCGGGUUAAGUCCCAUAACGAGCGCAACCCCUAUCAUUAGUUGCCAUCAGGUCAAGCUGGGGACUCUAAUGAAACUGCCUACGCAAGUAGUGAGGAAGGUGGGGAUGACGUCAAGUCAUCAUGGCCCUUAUGUCCAGGGCGACACACGUGCUACAAUGGCCGGCACAACGGGAAGCGAGUUCGCGAGGACAAGCGGAUCCCUUAAAGCCGGUCGCAGUUCGGAUUGAAGUCUGCAACUCGACUUCAUGAAGCUGGAAUCGCUAGUAAUCGUGGAUCAGCCAAGCCGCGGUGAAUACGUUCCCGGGCCUU